Molecule: long non-coding RNA, 1646 nt
Filed under: Sorghum bicolor (sorghum)
Lineage: Eukaryota; Viridiplantae; Streptophyta; Magnoliopsida; Poales; Poaceae
Description: long non-coding RNA (SBIC_LNC011611)
Source: RNAcentral
UGUGUACCAACCGCCAGUGGAUAUACAUGUACACACACGCAUAUAAAAGGGAAAAAUUCAACCUCAUAUAUGUCAGUCUCAAAGUCUGGCAUCCUAUUUGUCAACCUCGAACCAAUAAGAACUUUGAAACCUUCGACAUAUUUUAUACCAGAGAACUCUCUGUAUCUGACACCUCCAUUGAUAUGUAUAUCAUACAUUUCUUUUAUUUGUGAGAGUAAUCAUCAUAUAUUCAUGUCUCUGCAUCACAGAUGGUUAAUUUGAUGCAAAGACGAUUAAAAAAAAUCUUACAACAUUAGAGCUACUGUGCUCAGUCCCUAAUUGGAGUAGCUGCUUGUUGUAUUCUUGUUUUUUUCAUAUCAUUCAGGGAGGUAGUAUGUCUGAACUGGAUCAGUGGUUCAUCUAUUGCAUCAACAAUUUUGCCUUGUUUUUUUUGGACAACAACAGGAGGGGUUACCCCCUACUGGUUGCAUAUAUUUGAAAAAAGCUGUAUAUUGUAUCCUGAAUUUCUACUUGACACCGAUUUUGCCUUGUUAUUUGGUGAAUAUGGGCACCUUAUACCACUUCGCAAUAUACCGACAACCAAAGAACACACUCCGAUCAAGACAUAAGAAAGUGUGCACACCUCAUGCUUUUGUAAUAAAUUCUGCAGUCUAUGUUUACAUUUGCAAGCACUAGUUACCUAUCAGUACAUAAUAUGCUCCAGUUUACCAUUGCACAACACCACCUAGUUGAGCAACUUUGGGUUUUCUGUCUCCUCAGUGCAGAAAAUACAUAUUCAAAAUCUCUAACCUGUUAUCUGCAAAAGAGAAAUUUGAAUUUUGUUUAUGGCACAUUGGGAGUUUCGGACGUUGCUUACAGCAACAGCCAAGAACUGCUUAGGGAAUGGUGAAGAAGAUAAUACCUUCAAAUUAAUCCUACUCACAUGGUAGCGGGGCAGAAUUAUGUUUGACUUUGCCAAGGAAGAUUCUAUUCACUAAUUCCGUACACAACUAUGAGCAGAGCUCGAACACUAAAAAUUUAAAACAUAGACUGUAUUUUAGAUUACACUUUCUACUAUAAAUUCUAUGCUUAUAGAUCGGACAUCAGACAUAAACAGUGCGCCUCUGCCAUAGGCUAGCCACGGUGAAGACUAUCGAGGCCGAAGAGAGUGAACUCGUCAACUACAAAGUCAUGCAAGACUUAGCUCUACAGUCCACAGCCCCUUCUUGAGCUAUUCAACUUUAUUUUGCACUCCCGGUGCCUCUUAUUUCGAGUAGACCUUACUGUAGGUAGCUAGUACCAUUAAUUAGCCUUAUUUUUCCUACCCUUCACUCAUGAAAGAAGUGUUUAUGGCUUUACAAAAUGAAAAAAAACGAGAUAGCAUGCAAGCUAAACCAUGCAUAUAUUAGAGCAUGAGGAAGUGGGCAGUAUGUACAAUGCUCCAUAUCUGUAUAGUUAUGGCCUAUCGCUAAUGGUUCACCAACCGCUUGCUAGUAAGACAUGAGCAUAUGCAAUUGUUAUAUAUGUUAUUAAAACUCAGAAGGGGUGGGGAGUGUAUGAUCAUAUUCUCACUUUAAAUUCAUUAUACGCAUCAAUUUGCUGUCCUGUAUAUGUCAGCCUGAAACUAAGAGGAUUCCUUCAACACACAGUAUUUAUCAGACAACGCA